This 253-nucleotide ribosomal RNA is filed under the name uncultured bacterium. RNAcentral's name for it is "partial 16S ribosomal RNA". It matches the Rfam family "Bacterial small subunit ribosomal RNA", at positions 524 to 776 of the family's 1533-position model. The record is from RNAcentral.
UACAGAGGUCUCAAGCGUUGUUCGGAUUCAUUGGGCGUAAAGGGUGCGUAGGCGGCGCGGUAAGUCGGGUGUGAAAUCUUGGAGCUUAACUCCGAAACUGCAUUCGAUACUGGCGUGCUUGAGGACUGGAGAGGAGACUGGAAUUUACGGUGUAGCGGUGAAAUGCGUAGAUAUCGUAAGGAAGACCAGUGGCGAAGGCGGGUCUCUGGACAGUUCCUGACGCUGAAGCACGAAGGCCAGGGGAGCAAACGGG